AGGGAAAGGCAGUAUCAGUGACAUGUAUGAUUUCGCUGCAGUUAUAUCCACUGAAAUCACGCCAGUGAGGUAAUAUAUUUUGUGAGUCAUGAAUUUACUGGAAGCCUGGAACUAAGAUUUUUUAUUUUGCUUCCACUUGAAUAUGUGAUGAAAAUAUGAUUAUGAUACCCAUUCAUGUGCUUAGUGCUUAAUGUUUUGAUGUAUAAUGCUCUUAACAUGCAUUAUCUUUAUACACGCUUUGCAGACAGUUGUAGGGUGGGUCUUCUUGAGCUGCAGAAUCCAGCACACAGGAAGCAAUGGUCAUCACAUGUUGAUGCCAAGGUCUGCUACUUGAAUGUAUUAGCUGCAUUUCUUCUGCUAUAUAGCAAGAGGAUGAAAAAUAUUGGUGUCUGUUGUGAGCUGGAUCAAAGGUAACCAUAUUUACCUGCAAUAUGCAACAUCUGUUUUCUCUGCUUCAGUAUUUUUGUGUCUCUGGCGAAGUUAAUCAUCAUAUUUAUCAAUUUAUGUCAUUUAUUUAGGAGGGACCCCAAUUACUGACUGCAUCAGGCGACCAAACUGUGAGUAGAACAUGAUCCAUCAAUUCAUUAAAUUUCUCAUAACACCAACUAUCUUUAGUUUUUUUUUUUUUUUUUGUUGCAUAAUCUCACUGUAAUUGCUUGUACUGCAUCAGGUAAAGAUAUGGAGCGUGGAGAAUAAGAAAUGCCUUGGUGUGCUAUCAGGACACACUGGAAGUGUGAAGUCACUGUCAUGCCAUUCUUCAAAUCCUGGUCAGUUGUAUAUCAGCACUUGUUUAACUUAGCUUGGGACAUGUCUGCAUAAGCUCGUGAACUCGAAUUCAAGUAGGUUAUUGUUUAUGCAGAUCUUAUUGUUUCUGGUUCAAGAUACGGUUCUUUUGCACUUUGGGAUCUAAGAUGUGACCCCAAAACCCCAAAUGGUCAUGGUGAAGCAUGCCUCAUGUAUGUUAUCUAAUGGUUACUGCAAUCUAAAUGCUCCUUUUAAUCGCAAUCAUCAAAUAUCCGUAGCAAUAUAGCAUCUUUCACUGAAUUCAGCUGUUUUACAUGUUAGAUCUUCUGCUAUUUUGAAAGAAGCGCACAGUCCCACUCGAAGGAAGGGGACAAGGUCUUGAGCAAAGGUAUUGAAUCUGCCGAGAAUCCUUUUGCUGGUGACUGUACACUCCCUUGGGUUCAUUUGCUGAUAGUGGUCAUCUUUAGCGAGCUUCGACGAGCAUCAGAUCAGUUGUGUAUCUGAAAAACGAUAUCUCUGUUGCUACUUCUGGCGCUGCAGACAAGUAAGGCAUUGGCCCAUCCAAUAUAUCCUGCACUUACUACCUAAGUUCAUAUAGUUUAUAUGUCUAAUUAUGCAGCCAGUGGUGUGUUUCAAUAUGAACGUACCUCUUUUAACACAGUGCACCUCUUCUGUAGUUUGUUUUUAUUUAUAACUCUUAAAAUGUAUGCAUCUUGUACUUACAAUAAUGUCUGCCAGCGUUGUGAAAUUUUGGGAUACGAGGAACCUUAAAGUGCCUGUCUCCAACAAAACCUAUCAAUCAACAGGACAACCUUUGGUAAGCAAGCAGCUUGCAAUUGCAACAGAAUAUUCUUUUAGUUCAGUUUCACGGCUGACUGAUCCUUUCAUUCAGAAAAGGGGGUGACACAUGUGAUCUCUUGC
RNAcentral lists this long non-coding RNA (1665 nucleotides) under Hordeum vulgare. Its description in RNAcentral is "long non-coding RNA (HVUL_LNC017037)". The record is from RNAcentral. Lineage: Eukaryota; Viridiplantae; Streptophyta; Magnoliopsida; Poales; Poaceae.